RNAcentral lists this long non-coding RNA (209 nucleotides) under Anser brachyrhynchus (Pink-footed goose). Its description in RNAcentral is "lncRNA (ENSABRG00000012722.1)". Lineage: Eukaryota; Metazoa; Chordata; Aves; Anseriformes; Anatidae. The record is from RNAcentral.
ACUGCAUUACUCUAUGCCGCAUAGUAUCUUCUCCAAAACAAAAUAAUUCUGUGUUUUUGUUGUAAACAGGUGUUGCUUUUAUUUUUGCUUUUGCACUUAUAGUGUGAGGACUCAGGUGUAGGAAGAAACUUGCUGCACCAAAUAAUAACAGGGCUUACCAGAACAAUCCGUGACAGAAGAAAAGACAUUUGUUAAGGCUCUCAGCACAG